This 668-nucleotide long non-coding RNA is filed under the name Triticum aestivum (bread wheat). RNAcentral describes it as "long non-coding RNA (TAES_LNC004405)". Lineage: Eukaryota; Viridiplantae; Streptophyta; Magnoliopsida; Poales; Poaceae. The record is from RNAcentral.
CAGCUAGUGUUUCAGUACUUCGUUCUGCAGGAUUACUUACUCCUACAGGUCUGCAGGAUUAUUUUGGGUGCUACUGAAUUUAUAGUGCAUAUAAAUUUAUUGAUCUCAAAUGGUGUAUUGACCUCAUUCAUCAGGAUACAUCGUUUUUUUAGAAAGUUCUUUAAAUAUCCAAGUAUUGAUCUCAAAUGGUGUGUUGAAUUUGUUUCCAUUGACUCACAGAAAUUUUAGGCAUGUUUGCCAUUGGACAAAUGGUGUAUAACAAUGAUCAUCAUCUCUAAAUUGGAUAAUUGGACAACAUCAGCAGGAGGACAGCAACAACAACAUUUUCUCAUGCAUUACAGGUUUCCCAAUUGAUCAUUACACUCCAGUAAUUUCUUCUGACUGCUAUAAUUAUUGAUCUUAACAAAUUCUUCCUGAUCCAGUGUCUCCUGAUCAAUUUUACAGACUAUUGUACCUAAAAGCUUCGAUGAAUUCUCCCAAUUCUACUGUAAGGCGAAAACUGAUAAGAAUUGGGAGCAGCGAGGAGUACCUGGCGAGGACUAGGCGGGGGAGUAGCGAGGACCGGGCUGGGCAGCGUGGUUGAGAGGACCAGGUUGGUGCAGCGAGGACCAAAUUGGGGGCGGCGGCGGCGGCAGCGGCAGCCAGGCUGGGGCGGCGGCGAUCAAAUU